Molecule: ribosomal RNA, 253 nt
Filed under: uncultured bacterium
Lineage: Bacteria
Description: partial 16S ribosomal RNA
Rfam family: Bacterial small subunit ribosomal RNA
Source: RNAcentral
UACAGAGGGUGCAAGCGUUGUUCGGAAUUACUGGGCGUAAAGGGCGCGUAGGCGGCGUGACAAGUCACUUGUGAAAUCUCCGGGCUUAACCCGGAGCGGCCAAGUGAUACUGUCGUGCUAGAGUGCGGAAGGGGCUACUGGAAUUCUCGGUGUAGCGGUGAAAUGCGUAGAUAUCGAGAGGAACACCUGCGGCGAAGGCGGGUAGCUGGGCCGACACUGACGCUGAUGCGCGAAAGCCAGGGGAGCGAACGGG